RNAcentral lists this ribosomal RNA (497 nucleotides) under uncultured bacterium. RNAcentral describes it as "partial 16S ribosomal RNA". It matches the Rfam family "Bacterial small subunit ribosomal RNA", at positions 28 to 507 of the family's 1533-position model. The record is from RNAcentral.
GAUGGACGCUGGCGGCGUGCCUAAUACAUGCAAGUCGAGCGAACAGACGAGGAGCUUGCUCCUCUGACGUUAGCGGCGGACGGGUGAGUAACACGUGGAUAACCUACCUAUAAGACUGGGAUAACUUCGGGAAACCGGAGCUAAUACCGGAUAAUAUAUUGAACCGCAUGGUUCAAUAGUGAAAGACGGUUUUGCUGUCACUUAUAGAUGGAUCCGCGCCGCAUUAGCUAGUUGGUAAGGUAACGGCUUACCAAGGCAACGAUGCGUAGCCGACCUGAGAGGGUGAUCGGCCACACUGGAACUGAGACACGGUCCAGACUCCUACGGGAGGCAGCAGUAGGGAAUCUUCCGCAAUGGGCGAAAGCCUGACGGAGCAACGCCGCGUGAGUGAUGAAGGUCUUCGGAUCGUAAAACUUUGUUAUUAGGGAAGAACAAAUGUGUAAGUAACUAUGCACGUCUUGACGGUACCUAAUCAGAAAGCCACGGCUAACUACGUG